Long non-coding RNA from Homo sapiens (human), 555 nucleotides. The record is from Ensembl. NCBI's taxonomy places the organism in Eukaryota, Metazoa, Chordata, Mammalia, Primates, Hominidae.
GAGUAGCUGGGACUACAGGCGCCCGCCAUCACGCCCGGCUAAUUUUGUGUAUUUUUUAGUAGAGACGGGGUUUCACCGUGUUAGCCAGGAUGGUCUCGAUCUCCUGACCUCGUGAUCCGCCCGCCUCGGCCUCCCAAAGUGCUGGGAUUACAGUCUGGAGCCACCGCGCCCGGCCCUGAGAUGUCUCCAAGUGGUGGUGAGACAUCAUCAAAUCCUAAGAAACAAUAUACUUGAAGAUUUUUCACUCACUGCAUCAAAGAGUAUCAUGUCUAUUCUCAGUAAUUAUAGCCUCUGACGGAUGCAUCAAUGUUGCAGACACCAAAUAUCCCUAUAAAGAAGUCUUAUCGCAAUGAAUACUGAACUCAUCCUUCAAAACAGAUUUAGUCUCCAAAUCCUACUCUUUUUCCCUGGAAGUUGGAUGCCUUCACAUGCCAAGAUCGCAGGAAGCACAGAAUUCUCCCCACAUUAUUCCACCUGCCCCUCCAUCUCUCUUCUUUCUUCAGUCUUGUAGAUUUCACUAAUAAAAUCGUUUGAAGACCGGACAGUAAGAAAAAA